Dalotia coriaria is the source of this 660-nucleotide long non-coding RNA. RefSeq lists it as uncharacterized. The record is from RefSeq and is a predicted model, not a curated record. The transcript is spliced from 3 exons. Lineage: Eukaryota; Metazoa; Arthropoda; Insecta; Coleoptera; Staphylinidae.
UUUGCAUUCAAGUUAGUCCGUUGUCGUUAACGGAGUAGAGAAUAUUAUUAACAUGUUUACUGUAUUAUCAGCAUUAAUUGUUAUUUUGGGGGCAUGUGUUUUAUGUUUACAUGUAAAACAUGAAAGAAAGUUUGGACAUUUACGGAAAAUAUUUCCAGGAUGCGUAUGGUUUCUAAACGUUAGAUUACAUCACUUAUUAAAUCCUGAAAAUGCACUCAAAAUUACUACAAAUGUAUACAAAUCCUUUAAAAACAAUGUAUUGUAUUUAAUGUAUCCACAUGCAAAGUUAUUACUUUAUGACCUCAAAUUAAUUGAUUUGGUUCUCAGUACAAAUAUGGAUAAAACGGUAGAAUAUUCAUUUAUUAAAUCAUGGCUCUCUGAAGGAAUUUUGACCUCCAAAUAUGACAAAUGGAAAGUUCAUAAAAAAACUUUUAGCUCCGGCAUUUAGCAUGAAAAAUCUCAUGAAUCACAUCGACGCUUUCAAUGAACAAUCUCUAGUGCUAUGUAAAAAAUUACAAGACAGAAUUGACCAACCAUCAUUCAAUAUUCAUAAGUAUAUUAACCUGUGCACAAUGGAUAUUAUUUUAAAUACUGCACUAGGUGCAGAUAUUAAAAUUCAAGAUAAUCCUACUUCGGAAUAUAUGACAAGUGCACAUACAA